RNAcentral lists this ribosomal RNA (253 nucleotides) under uncultured bacterium. RNAcentral describes it as "partial 16S ribosomal RNA". It matches the Rfam family "Bacterial small subunit ribosomal RNA", at positions 524 to 776 of the family's 1533-position model. The record is from RNAcentral.
UACGUAGGGUGCAAGCGUUGUCCGGAUUUAUUGGGCGUAAAGAGCUCGUAGGCGGUCUGUCGCGUCGGAUGUGAAAACCUGUAGCUCAACUACGGGCCUGCAUUCGAUACGGGCAGACUAGAGUUUGGUAGGGGAGAUUGGAAUUCCUGGUGUAGCGGUGAAAUGCGCAGAUAUCAGGAGGAACACCGGUGGCGAAGGCGGAUCUCUGGGCCAAUACUGACGCUGAGGAGCGAAAGCGUGGGGAGCAAACAGG